This 80-nucleotide transfer RNA is filed under the name Hortaea werneckii EXF-2000. Its description in RNAcentral is "tRNA-Leu (AAG) (tRNA-Leu-AAG-2-1, tRNA-Leu-AAG-2-2)". It matches the Rfam family "tRNA". Rfam says of the family: Transfer RNA (tRNA) molecules are approximately 80 nucleotides in length. Their secondary structure includes four short double-helical elements and three loops (D, anti-codon, and T loops). Further hydrogen bonds mediate the characteristic L-shaped molecular structure. tRNAs have two regions of fundamental functional importance: the anti-codon, which is responsible for specific mRNA codon recognition, and the 3' end, to which the tRNAs corresponding amino acid is attached (by aminoacyl-tRNA synthetases). tRNAs cope with the degeneracy of the genetic code in two manners: having more than one tRNA (with a specific anti-codon) for a particular amino acid; and 'wobble' base-pairing, i.e. permitting non-standard base-pairing at the 3rd anti-codon position. Lineage: Eukaryota; Fungi; Ascomycota; Dothideomycetes; Mycosphaerellales; Teratosphaeriaceae. The record is from RNAcentral.
GGUGAGGUGGCCGAGUGGUCUAAGGCGCUAGCUUAAGGCGCUAGUUCGAAAGAGCGCGAGUUCGAAUCUCGCCCUCAUCA